AUUGAACGCUGGCGGAAUGCUUUACACAUGCAAGUCGAGCGGCAGCGCGGGGGCAACCCUGGCGGCGAGCGGCGAACGGGUGAGUAACAUAUCGGAACGUACCCCGUCGUGGGGGAUAACACAGCGAAAGCUGUGCUAAUACCGCAUACGACCUGAGGGUGAAAGCGGGGAUCGCAAGACCUCGCGCGAUGGGAGCGGCCGAUAUCGGAUUAGCUUGUUGGUGAGGUAAAGGCUCACCAAGGCGACGAUCCGUAGCUGGUCUGAGAGGACGACCAGCCACACUGGAACUGAGACACGGUCCAGACUCCUACGGAGGCAGCAGUGGGAAUUUUGGACAAUGGGGGCAACCCUGAUCCAGCCAUUCCGCGUGAGUGAAGAA
Molecule: ribosomal RNA, 379 nt
Filed under: uncultured bacterium
Lineage: Bacteria
Description: bacterial SSU rRNA
Rfam family: Bacterial small subunit ribosomal RNA
Source: RNAcentral